This 301-nucleotide ribosomal RNA is filed under the name uncultured bacterium. RNAcentral's name for it is "partial 16S ribosomal RNA". It matches the Rfam family "Bacterial small subunit ribosomal RNA", at positions 509 to 807 of the family's 1533-position model. The record is from RNAcentral.
CAGUAGCCGCGGGAAUACGAAGGGGGCUAGCGUUGCUCGGAAUGACUGGGCGUAAAGGGCGCGUAGGCGGUUUAUACAGUCAGAUGUGAAAUUCCUGGGCUCAACCUGGGGACUGCAUUUGAUACGUAUGGACUUGAGUGGAGAAGAGGGUCGUGGAAUUUCCAGUGUAGAGGUGAAAUUCGUAGAUAUUGGAAAGAACACCGGUGGCGAAGGCGGCGACCUGGUCUUUAACCGACGCUGAGGCGCGAAAGCGUGGGGAGCAAACAGGAUUAGAUACCCCUGUAGUCCCUGUCUCUUAUAC